GCCACUUAAUCUCAAUUAAGUUAGUCGCAGGUAAUUGUUUUAAAAAAUUUUACCAUUUACUUUUUGGACUAAUUUUUUAAUGUGUUGUGCUUGAAGAACGUCGUUUAUUAGAUAUUAAAUUAAAAUAUUUAUUUUCAGACGAAAAAUAAAACCUGUAAACAAUUUCUGUCUCUAUUUACUUGUGAAACGAAUGAUAGAAAAGAAAAAGCAUUCAACUGUUUACCGUUUGACUCAUGUUCCAAUCUAACCUAGUGGGUUCAAAAAGAAAGGACCGCGCUGUAAACAUAAAGGGGUUAAAAGGGUCAGCCCUUUUUGAAUUAAUUGUCGAAGUCGUAACUAGCUCGUAUGAAAGGAUUUCUCGACAUGAAAUAGUUAAUUUUAUUCAACAACACCAAGAAACAGAGCUUGCUCAAGAAACAGAAAAGAAAGAAAAAGAUGAAAAAAUAUUCUG
Non-coding RNA from Hydra vulgaris (swiftwater hydra), 451 nucleotides. The record is from RefSeq and is a predicted model, not a curated record. Lineage: Eukaryota; Metazoa; Cnidaria; Hydrozoa; Anthoathecata; Hydridae.